This 497-nucleotide ribosomal RNA is filed under the name uncultured bacterium. RNAcentral describes it as "partial 16S ribosomal RNA". It matches the Rfam family "Bacterial small subunit ribosomal RNA", at positions 28 to 507 of the family's 1533-position model. The record is from RNAcentral.
GAUGAACGCUGGCGGCGUGCCUAAUACAUGCAAGUCGAGCGAACAGAUGAGGAGCUUGCUCCUCUGACGUUAGCGGCGGACGGGUGAGUAACACGUGGAUAACCUACCUAUAAGACUGGGAUAACUUCGGGAAACCGGAGCUAAUACCGGAUAAUAUAUUGAACCGCAUGGUUCAAUAGUGAAAGACGGUUUUGCUGUCACUUAUAGAUGGAUCCGCGCCGCAUUAGCUAGUUGGUAAGGUAACGGCUUACCAAGGCAACGAUGCGUAGCCGACCUGAGAGGGUGAUCGGCCACACUGGAACUGAGACACGGUCCAGACUCCUACGGGAGGCAGCAGUAGGGAAUCUUCCGCAAUGGGCGAAAGCUUGACGGAGCAACGCCGCGUGAGUGAUGAAGGUCUUCGGAUCGUAAAACUCUGUUAUUAGGGAAGAACAAAUGUGUAAGUAACUAUGCACGUCUUGACGGUACCUAAUCAGAAAGCUACGGCUAACUACGUG